Molecule: long non-coding RNA, 3226 nt
Organism: Artibeus jamaicensis (Jamaican fruit-eating bat)
Lineage: Eukaryota; Metazoa; Chordata; Mammalia; Chiroptera; Phyllostomidae
Exons: 2
Source: RefSeq, a predicted model, not a curated record
UGCUGGGGGCAGGAACCCAGAGGCCUCCAGACCUGAUCAGGAGGAGAAGCAAGAUGCACGGCUUUGGGCUCCCGGCCCCUCCGAGUCUGCUUUGUCCAUCUGUCAACGCAGAGGUCAACGCAGAGGUCGCCCAGAGGGUUCGGACUCUUUCUACGGCUUUGAGGUGACCGGGCCUGGCCCGCUGAAAACUUCCGGCCUGCCGUUUUCCCACCUGGGAAUGGGUUCGUCCUGGCGGCUCUGAUGGGAAUUCUGGGAACUUUUAUGAGUUUUGGUUGCAGAGCACUUUGUGUAUGUUGGAAAGAAGCUGCUAAUGUUACAAAUACACAUUUGAAAGUUGGUAGAAAGAUUUGACUUGAUAAAUGAACUCAGUACUCAGCGGGCAGAGCCCAGCUCUGCCACUCGGAUUUGAAUGUUUCUGAUGCCUUACGUAGAGAUUUGCACAACUUACGCGGUUUCCCAGGCCUCUGUGUUUCUCAGAUUGUGAUCAAAAAGGAGGAAAAAACUCCCUGCGUGUUUAGCUUUGCCCCUUUUUUCCUUCCUUAGGUUACUCCAGCCUCCCACACUGUGCUGCCCACAGCCUUGCCCAUCUGUUCUGUUCCUCUUUUACUCUGCAGUCACUUUCAUUUGUAUCUCAAAUCCUGACUGGCUUCCUUAGCCCUCCUUUAUCUUUGCAGCACUUCCUGUGGUUUGAGCAGAGGAAAUCUGGACUGUAGACCAGGUAGGAUGCUCCCGACUGGGAAGAGGACGAAGAGACAGAUCGGCGCCCCCCCUGCCCCACUGCCUGCGCCCUGCGCCUGGGCCUCAGACAGUGUUCUGGUUUGUGAGCAGGGCCGCAGAGCACCAGCGCGUCCCGGUGAAAAUCAACGGUGUCCUCACCACCGCCACUGUGUGAGCCUCCACAUGGGACGCGGCCGAGAACCAGCAUCUGGAUGAAGUUGGAUUCUUCCUGCACCCGGACAAACUGUAGGCGAUGCCCUCCCUGUCUCCUCACACUGAAGACUGAGGUGCUGUUGUUUGAUGGCGAGGAAAGUAAUUUUAGGAGUGGUUACCGACAGUCACCUGACACACUGAAACCUGCUUCCUGAGAGCCCAGAUGAGGGGGGCUCAGUCUGCAGUGGUCUGAAGUGGUUUUCUUGUCACCUGUGUUUUAGGAGUUAGUCUACAUAGUCUUGGAUUAAGUAUGAAAUAGGUGUCAGAAACCACAGCUUGAUUCUGAGAUCCAUUUGGCGCUUCAACGUGGAACGGAGGGAACAAACGCCCAACAAGGUAACGCAGAGAGCAUGUCGCGAAGAUCAAGUACACCAGCGUAAUCAGAAAUAUCACUACAGUGCUCGCAAGAAUCACAUAAAUCGAUAGUGAGGAGAAGCAGUUAGGUUCUGACACAGACACUUUUCUCUGUGCCCCAACUGUACUUUAAAAAUAUUGAGAAAGCAAAGAAAUAAUCCACCUUUCAAUGGCCAGCCCAUCACUUUCAAUAUACAUCUUCAUGCUUUGGAAAACCUUCAGUAUUUAAGCCAGCCCUUAAUUACCUCCAUCCCCACAUUCGGAAGCCAUUAUCCUGAGUGAGUAAAGGAAAAGUGUAAGACUUUAAAGAUAACAUUAGUAAAGUAAGAAUGGAUUGAUAUCCAGGCUGAGAUUAUGCCAUUUCCUAACUUCUCAGGGAAGAAUUAUUUUCAAUCGUCGAUACAUUGAGAAAACCCUUCUCAACUAGUGGCUUUUACUGUGACUGCUCUGAUGGCGUGACGGUUAGCUAGAGGUCCCACAGAGCUGAGUGCGGCCUCAGACGGAUGAGGGUGGGCGGGAGAUGAGUCCCAGGGCGGCCCUCAGGGACAGUCCUCUACAGGACACGGACACAGUGGACUGGCGGCUGUCACCUGCUCUCUGACACUUACUUACCCUGAGCUUUCGCCCGAAGACAUUGACUUUUCCUUGGGCUUGCUCUUUUCGGAAUCUCCACUCCACCAGGUUCUGACCGUUUUCACCGGGAAGCGUCAUGUUCCUUUUGGCGACGGUUGGAUUGGCCGUGCCCGCCAGCACGUGCGGCUCCGUCUGGUAGUGGGAGUCGAGGCCGCUGGCGUAGAUGACCCGCAGGGAGCCGUCGUAGCCGAUCUGGAAGCUGCUCCUCAGCUGGUCUGCGGAACGAGGAGCAGAGAACACGAACUACCAACACGGAUUAGCACUCUGUCGGCUACGCAGUUAGAAGUGAUGUCGAUUUCUCAGGUGCCGACUGGACUCCAUUUAUAAGGAAAUGAAAAACGCCUAAUGAUGUCUUCUUAGAAAAUAAUAGAACAACUGUGAUUUCUGGCGUUUCAUGCUGUAACAGGUUUGGCUAUUUUAAAGGAAAAUUUUAGGGGAAUUCAGAGCCCUUCUCCACCUUAAUAGGUUUCUUUUUCUCCUUUGCCUGACAAAUGAAUAAAGGCCCACCCUCUAGGGGCAAUGCAGUAAGUGUUUUGCAAAGAGCCAAGUAUGUGCCUUUUUGGAGGCCAGCAUGUCACCUCCAAUCUCUAGAAGAAGCACCCCCUCCCCCAUCCUGUGUCUUUUAUCAAUGAACUUCUGAAAAGAUUUCAUAUCUCUACCUUUUGUACUGAAAAUAUAAGGUGAUAGCCCUCCUGAAACUGACUAAAAAACCCAGUCAUCUUACAUUUGGCAGAAAAAACACUGUCAUAUAAAACUGAAGGCUGCUGCUUUGGUUUAAAAGUUUGUAUGACAUAGGACCACUCGGAGAAUGACUGAUUCCAGCAUCACUGAUUUUAGAUGACUGUGGAGAUUACCUGACAAAAUUGUAAAACAACAACAAAAAAAUGAUUCCAACAAGUUUAACUCAGAUUUGGCAAUUAAUUUCAGGGCCACAACCUCACAACUGCAAAUGCCACUGGAAACAGGCUUUUUCGGGAUGACUUCAGAAAGGAGUGUGGCAGGGGGCCCCAUCAUGGGGACACCGGACAUACGUGCCUCCAGAAUGCAGACACGCUGAGUUCCCAUGUUCCACAAAUGGGUCUUUGGGGUCGGGAACAAACUCCCGGCGACUGCGUCACACAGAUCCCUGGGCCAGUGUGGGUGACAUCAUCAAAAAGGGUCUGAUGAUGCACGUGAAGAGUGGCAACUGAGUAGUUCCAUCAAAUGGGAAUAACAAUCGUCACUAUUUCAAGGUUAAUGUAUAGUUUUAUAUCUUCUAUAACUUUAUAAUAUGUGUAUAUAACUCAAUAAACAUUACAUGUGGACAUUA